Non-coding RNA from Podarcis muralis (Common wall lizard), 822 nucleotides. The record is from RefSeq and is a predicted model, not a curated record. Lineage: Eukaryota; Metazoa; Chordata; Lepidosauria; Squamata; Lacertidae.
GCUAAAGGUUUCUCUCUAUUAAUUACUUCUUCGCACCUGGAUAUAAUUACCAUUCACAAGAGUCUGCCUCUUUUCAGGCUUAACUCUCAACAAGGUUUUCCAAGAAAGCAUCCUUCACGACUAAAGACUGCCUCCUGAAGGAUGGGACAAAGAGGGCAUGUUCCCAUGUUUCUGGGAGAAAGUGGCGGGACAACAGGAAGUGUGGACGAACCAUCAGGAUUGUUUAUGCUGAGUUGCAGCAACUACCCGGGAUUUCCGACUGAGGCUGUUCCAAGCCAGACCUGGAGCUACUGUUAAACCUUGAAUCUUUUGCAUGCAAUGCAGGUAGAUUCAGCAGGCCUGGCAUCAGCACAUGACAUCCUUGAGAAGUCCCAACACCCUGGCAGGACCCACCAUUAAUGCCUGCCCUGGGUCUCAUUUAAAAAUUCAGCUGUGUCCAAGAGCCACCAUUUUAAUUCCCAACAAUACCCAGGAGCAACGCUAUGACAGAGGCAUUCUGGGUUUGUUGAGAGGUUCCUCCGUUUGCUAGGUGCAUCUCUAUUCUGCCUUUCUGUACCCUGAUUUUCACUAUUCUGGCACAACUUCUAGACUGUUUCCUUUUGGCUAUGCAGCUGCAUAUAAGAAGACUGGCGGUAUGAACAAACGACCAUUCAGGUUAGCAGUCCACCGCUAUUGAUUAACCCCAAUAAACUUGUGAGAAACCACAUUUUAUGCUAGGGAUUUUAUCAUAUACAUCAUAGCUUGUUUCCUGCCCAAAAUACACGAGUCUGGGAAUGGGUGGGGCUAGCUUUACCCUCCCAGUGCCACUGCUUGCGCUAACAU